CAAAAACAUGUCCUUUUGUUUAUUUAUUUAAGGUUUGACCUGCCCAAUGAGGAAUUGAAUGGCCGCAGUAUUCUAACUGUGCUAAGGUAGCAUAAUCAUUUGUCUUUUAAUUGAGGGCUGGAAUGAAGGGUUGGACGAGGUAUUGACUUUCUUUAAUUUAAUUUGAGGAAUUUAAUUUUUGAGUUAAAAAGCUUAAAUUUAUUUAUGGGACGAGAAGACCCUAUAGAUCUUUAUAGUUUUAUAUUUUGGUAAUUUAGGGAUUUAUAUACUUUAAGUAGAUUAACUAUUUUGUUGGGGUGACUGUAGAAUUUAAAUAACUUCUAUUUUUUAUUUUCAUUAAUUAGUGUUUUUAUGAUCCAUAGUUUAUGAUUAGAAGAUUAAGUUACCUUAGGGAUAACAGCGUAAUUUCCUCGGAGAGUUCAUAUUGAUGAGGGAGUUUGCGACCUCGAUGUUGGAUUAAAAUAAGUUAUGGAUGCAGGAGUCUAUUUACUAGGUCUGUUCGACCUUUAAAUUUUUACAUGAUCUGAGUUCAAAACCGGAGA
This 542-nucleotide ribosomal RNA is filed under the name Triatoma sherlocki. Its description in RNAcentral is "partial 16S ribosomal RNA". It matches the Rfam family "Bacterial large subunit ribosomal RNA", at positions 1808 to 2624 of the family's 2925-position model. Lineage: Eukaryota; Metazoa; Arthropoda; Insecta; Hemiptera; Reduviidae. The record is from RNAcentral.